UGCCUUCUCUAAUAAGCUCUCUCAUAAGUUCUAAGUUACUUUGAAUAUUUGGAGAGAUAAACUUUCUUCUCAAACAAGCUUUCAAUUCUUUCCAAUUAUGAAUGGGAAAUUUUCUACCUAUUCUAACAUGAUAUUCUCUUUCAUCCCACCACUCUUUUGCAUACCNUUCAAAUCUAGAAAUGUAAAGAUUCAUGAUAUAUGAUUCACAGUCACGAGAAUAAUAAGAUUCAGAUUGACUUCUUCUAACCAUAAAGAAAUGCAUGUCACCAAUUUCCUUUUCCCAAGCUAAGUAAGUAAAUGCACCAAUAUCCUCACCAAAGAAAGGAAUAUUUUCCCUAGCUUGUUUAUACAAAGUAUUUUCAAUCCUA
This 368-nucleotide long non-coding RNA is filed under the name Vigna radiata. RNAcentral describes it as "long non-coding RNA (VRAD_LNC006460)". The record is from RNAcentral. Lineage: Eukaryota; Viridiplantae; Streptophyta; Magnoliopsida; Fabales; Fabaceae.